CAAAUGGGGGUGUCAUUUAUCUAUGCCAACCCGACUGCCCUCUGCCCUCCCUCCAGUGCUCUUUGCCCUCACCCAGUAACCUAAUUUGCAUUUGAAAAAGAGCAGCGGUUGCAAUAGCACCUUGAGUUCCAGCCUUCAGCCAGCCUGGAGAGUGCAUCAGGAAUUUGGGUGGUCAUCUGCUGGGAAUCAGCAGUAUGCAGAAGACAGCAGGAGCAUACCUCACCCAACAGCGCCUCAGAUGAAGAAGAUCCUGCGGCAUCCCUGGUAUCCAUGGCCUUUCAUUGCUCCUGGAAUUCUUGCUCCUUUUUGAGUGAGUGUGCUUUGUUCGUUUCAUAAUUGGACUCUUAAUUCAGCAAUAGCUCUGGCCAGUUGCUAUUAAUGAUCACUUUGCUCUCCUCUUCCCAUAGCAAUUAUUAAUUAAACUGCUCAGAGAGUCAUAAUGAGAAAUUAAAGACUGUAAUAAUAUUUUAGGAAGCAGUAUCCCAUGAUCUUGGAGGCCUAUAUUCUGUUCCAAAGGCAGAGCAGAGUUUGUUUAAUUCACAAACAUUUACUGAGUCCCCUUUAGGUAGAAGGCCCCAUUCAGUUUCCAGGCAUACACCAAGGAUGGCAUCUGCUCUAGGGAGGAGCUGAAGGUCAUGGUGUGGAGUGUUUUUUGAUCCAAGUCUUAACUCUUAUUGAUUCUCCUUUCUCAACUUGUACCCUUCCAUCGAGAAUCAGUUCCAACUUUCCCUUCUACUUUCAUUACCUACCGUUCCCUCCCACAACCUUAAGAAGCCCUCAGGUUAAUUGCUCCUUUUCUGAGUUCCUGUGAUAACUUUGUAUAAAUCUCUAUUAUAGAACUAAUAUUUUUAUCAUCAUUAAAAAAAUAAAAAACAAC
RNAcentral lists this long non-coding RNA (877 nucleotides) under Callithrix jacchus (white-tufted-ear marmoset). RNAcentral describes it as "lncRNA (ENSCJAG00000068025.2)". The record is from RNAcentral. Lineage: Eukaryota; Metazoa; Chordata; Mammalia; Primates; Cebidae.